Molecule: ribosomal RNA, 1131 nt
Filed under: Triticum aestivum (bread wheat)
Lineage: Eukaryota; Viridiplantae; Streptophyta; Magnoliopsida; Poales; Poaceae
Description: partial small subunit ribosomal RNA
Source: RNAcentral
AUGACGUGGGAGUCUCUCGCACAGCCAAAGAUUAAAGGAGGGAUGGGCUUCCGAGAUUUACAGAUGUUCAACUUAGCACUCCUUGGUAAACAUGGAUGGAGGCUAAUGACAGAACCCAACUCCUUGUGUGCUCGAGUAUUGAAAGGAAGAUACUUCCCCAACUGUGAUUUUAUGCAUGCCGGUGCACCCAAAAGCGCGUCGGCGACAUGGCGGGCAAUCAUAGCAGGGCGGAAGGCUUUGAAUGUUGGGCUGAUCAAAGGUAUCGGAAGUGGUACAACAGUGUCUAUAUGGGAGGAUAAAUGGAUCCCAAAUACAUUGACAAGGGCACCUGUUGCACGUCUUGGUGAUGCACAAAUUAGCUGGGUAGCAGACAUUAUUGAUGAUGAGAAUUGGACUUGGAAGUCUGAAGUUAUCAGACAAUCCUUUAUCCCUCCAGAUGCGGAUGCAAUCCUCAAUAUCCCUUUGAGGACUGGAGGGGGAGAUGAUUUCUAUGCUUGGGCGCCUGAGAGGUCCGGGAUUUAUACUGUAAAAUCAGCGUAUCGCUCUCUAAUGAUUCAAAACGAGCAUAAAGCUCUAGAAGAAGGGGCGACUACGGAUACUUCAGAGAUGGAUAAACAGUUAUGGUCUCGGUUAUGGAAACUCAAAGUGCUGCCGAUAGUUCGCGUCUUCUGGUGGCGCGUGAUGCGAGGGAUUCUUCCCGUUGAAAGUACACCGAAAUAUCGGCAUAUAUCCAGCGAGAGCAAGUGCAAAAUCUGUUUGAGUUCUGAGAAGGAUAUGAUGCAUGCAUUACUGAGCAGUACCCAUGCGAGAAGGUUUUGGAAUGAAGCUCCGCAGUGGCUGCAUGUUAAGCGACCAAACCUGCACCCUCUUACUUGGGUUAAGGAUGUCCUGUGUGAGUCUCUAUUUUCAGAUUCUGACAGAGCAAAACUUGUGUCUAUUAUGUGGGCUAUUUGGAUUUCGCGCAACAACAUUACACAUGACAAAGGAGAGUUUGAUCCUGUUCGGUCCAUGAAGCAAAUACAGGAAGCUCUAGCGAUCUUAGAGUUACCCUCAAGAUCAUGCUCGGAUCUUGCCUGGUCAUGGCUGGAGGCCGCCGGACGAUGGAUGGAUAAAAAUCAACAUCGAUGGUAG